CCUACGGGUGGCAGCAGUGGGGAAUCUUGCGCAAUGGGCGAAAGCCUGACGCAGCAACGCCGCGUGCGGGAUGACGGCCUUCGGGUUGUAAACCGCUUUCAGCAGGGACGCGGUACCUGCAGAAGAAGCUCCGGCUAACUACGUGCCAGCAGCCGCGGUAAUACGUAGGGAGCAAGCGUUGUCCGGAUUUAUUGGGCGUAAAGAGCUCGUAGGCGGUUCCGUAAGUCAGGUGUGAAAAAUCUGGGCUCAACCCAGUGGAGCACCUGAUACUGCGGGACUCGAGUCCGGUAGGGGAGUGUGGAAUUCCUGGUGUAGCGGUGAAAUGCGCAGAUAUCAGGAGGAACACCGACGGCGAAGGCAGCACUCUGGGCCGGACUGACGCUGAGGAGCGAAAGCAUGGGGAGCGAACAGGAUUAGAUACCCUUGUAGUC
This 431-nucleotide ribosomal RNA is filed under the name uncultured bacterium. RNAcentral describes it as "partial 16S ribosomal RNA". It matches the Rfam family "Bacterial small subunit ribosomal RNA", at positions 338 to 795 of the family's 1533-position model. The record is from RNAcentral.